RNAcentral lists this ribosomal RNA (1432 nucleotides) under uncultured organism. RNAcentral's name for it is "bacterial SSU rRNA". It matches the Rfam family "Bacterial small subunit ribosomal RNA". The record is from RNAcentral.
AUGAACGUUGGCGGCGUGCCUAACACAUGCAAGUCGAACGGGAAGCUAGACUUCGGUCUAGUGGAGAGUGGCGCACGGGUGAGUAACACGUAGCUUAUCUGCCCUCAAGAGCGGGAUAACGCACCGAAAGGUGUGCUAACACCGCAUAAGCUCACGCGAACUAGAACGGUGUGAGAAAAGCUGAGGCGCUUGAGGAUGAGGCUGCGGCCCAUCAGCUAGUUGGUGCGGUAAAAGCGCACCAAUGCGACGACGGGUAGGGGACCUGAGAGGGUGACCCCCCACACUGGGACUGAGACACGGCCCAGACUCCUACGGGAGGCAGCAGUGAGGAAUAUUGCACAAUGGACGGAAGUCUGAUGCAGCAACGCCGCGUGGGUGAAGAAGGUUUUCGGAUCGUAAAGCCCUUUUCUGCGUGACGAGGAAGGACGGUAGCGCAGGAAUAAGUGUCGGCUAACUACGUGCCAGCAGCCGCGGUAAAACGUAGGACGCAAACGUUAUCCGGAAUUACUGGGCGUAAAGCGCGCGCAGGCGGGAUCGCCAGUCACUCGUGAAAGCUCCCGGCUAAACUGGGAGAGGUCGGGUGAUACUGCGGUUCUGGAGGGUGGUAGAGGUAUGUGGAAUUCCGCGUGUAGUGGUGAAAUGCGUAGAGAUGCGGAGGAACACCAGUGGCGAAGGCGGCAUACUGGGCCACACCUGACGCUGAGGCGCGAAAGCAUGGGUAGCGAACGGGAUUAGAAACCCCGGUAGUCCAUGCCGUAAACGAUGUGCACUAGAUGUUCGUGCGUCGACAAGACGCGGGAGUGUCGCAGCAAACGCGAUAAGUGCACCGCCUGGGGAGUACGGUCGCAAGGCUAAAACUCAAAGGGAUUGACGGGGGCCCGCACAAGCAGCGGAGCGUGUGGUUUAAUUCGAGGCUACGCGAAGAACCUUACCCGGGCUUGACAUCCCGCGCUAGCUUGCGAAAGCAAGUGUUCCUUCGGGACGCGGAGACAGGUGCUGCAUGGCUGUCGUCAGCUCGUGUCGUGAGAUGUUCGGUUAAGUCCGAAAACGAGCGCAACCCCCGGGUUCAGUUACAAGUGUCUGAACCGACUGCCUACGGCAAGUAGGAGGAAGGUGGGGAUGAUGUCAAGUCAGCAUGGCCUUUAUGUCCGGGGCUACACACACGCUACAAUGGCGCGUACAAUGGGUCGCGAAGCCGCGAGGUGGAGCCAAUCCUGCAAAGCGCGUCGUAGUUCGGAUCGUAGGCUGCAACUCGCCUGCAUGAAGUCGGAGUUGCUAGUAACCGCGAAUCAGCACGUCGCGGUGAAUACGUUCCCGGGCCUUGUACACACCGCCCGUCACGUCAUGGAAGUUGGUCACGCCUGAAGUCGAGAAGCUAACCUAACGGGGGCUACCGCCAAAGGCAGGGCCGAUGACUGGGACGAAGUCGUAA